Molecule: long non-coding RNA, 247 nt
Filed under: Ananas comosus (pineapple)
Lineage: Eukaryota; Viridiplantae; Streptophyta; Magnoliopsida; Poales; Bromeliaceae
Description: long non-coding RNA (ACOM_LNC039584)
Source: RNAcentral
AAAGGAGUUGUCAUUGGGUUUAUAAGUGAUUUAGACACUAGUAAUAAGAACUGGGCUUAAGCAUUUUGGGCUGUUGGCUGGGCCCAACGAGUUAUUAUUGCUAGUGGGCUGGGUCGUUAUAUUUGGUAUCAGAGCCGGUUCACCAGCUGGACAUGUGCAGCGAGUCUCGGUUGAGCCAAGGUCUGGAUGAUGGGCUAGCGAGACGAGUCUCACAUCGCAUGGUGAUCUUGGGCUGUGUGUGUGAUUG